CCUACGGGCGGCUGCAGUGAGGAAUAUUGGUCAAUGGACGAGAGUCUGAACCAGCCAAGUAGCGUGAAGGAUGACUGCCCUAUGGGUUGUAAACUUCUUUUAUAUGGGAAUAAAAUGUUCCACGUGUGGGAUUUUGUAUGUACCAUAUGAAUAAGGAUCGGCUAACUCCGUGCCAGCAGCCGCGGUAAUACGGAGGAUCCGAGUGUUAUCCGGAUUUAUUGGGUUUAAAGGGAGCGUAGGUGGAUUGUUAAGUCAGUUGUGAAAGUUUGCGGCUCAACCGUAAAAUUGCAGUUGAAACUGGCAGUCUUGAGUACAGUAGAGGUGGGCGGAAUUCGUGGUGUAGCGGUGAAAUGCUUAGAUAUCACGAAGAACUCCGAUUGCGAAGGCAGUUCACUGGACUGCAACUGACACUGAGGCUCGAAAGUGUGGGUAUCAAACAGGAUUAGAUACCCUAGUAGUC
This 460-nucleotide ribosomal RNA is filed under the name uncultured bacterium. RNAcentral describes it as "partial 16S ribosomal RNA". It matches the Rfam family "Bacterial small subunit ribosomal RNA", at positions 338 to 795 of the family's 1533-position model. The record is from RNAcentral.